AUUGUUUUUCAGGAUACUAAGAUGGCUAACUGAUGAAGAUGAAAUACUGAAAGAAACUAAUCAACAAAAGAUCCAGUAUUUGAUAGUUGAGAUGUCACCUGUUACUGAUAUCGAUACUAGUGGAAUUCACUCAUUAGAAGAUCUGUAUAAGUCACUCCAGAAAAGAAAUGUCGAGCUUGUUCUGGCAAAUCCGGGGACAAUGGUGAUCGACAAGCUUCAUGCAUCUGGUCUCGCCGAUAUGAUUGGUGAAGACAAGAUUUUCCUCACUGUGGCAGAUGCUGUUAUGACAUUUGCUCCAAAAAUGGAGCCUUGAAUAUAUUCACAAAAACACAUUAUAUUAACAUGUCUUUUGUUUUGAGUGAAAAGCAUAUAACAAAACAAAUUGUUUAACUGAAAAAAGUUCAUGCUCUCUAUAUGAUGGUUGAGGGGAAAUUUGUAAAUCUCCUUUUGGUUUAGGCAUUGUAAAGCCUUUAUUUAUUUAUUUUGGUUCCC
Solanum stenotomum is the source of this 492-nucleotide long non-coding RNA. RefSeq lists it as uncharacterized. NCBI's taxonomy places the organism in Eukaryota, Viridiplantae, Streptophyta, Magnoliopsida, Solanales, Solanaceae. The transcript is spliced from 3 exons. The record is from RefSeq and is a predicted model, not a curated record.